GCUUCAAUGGCCUAGUGGUUAGAGCGUCUGCCUCAGAUGCAGGAGGUCGUGGGUUCCAGUCCCUACUGAAUCA
Potamilus streckersoni is the source of this 73-nucleotide non-coding RNA. The record is from the annotation of a GenBank genome assembly. Lineage: Eukaryota; Metazoa; Mollusca; Bivalvia; Unionida; Unionidae.